This 266-nucleotide unclassified non-coding RNA is filed under the name uncultured fungus. RNAcentral's name for it is "partial contains 5.8S ribosomal RNA, internal transcribed spacer 2, and large subunit ribosomal RNA". The stretch from base 1 to 52 matches the Rfam family "5.8S ribosomal RNA", at positions 103 to 154 of the family's 154-position model. Lineage: Eukaryota; Fungi. The record is from RNAcentral.
AACGCACAUUGCGCCCUCUGGUAUUCCGGGGGGCAUGCCUGUUCGAGCGUCAUUACAACCUUCAAGCUUGGCUUGGUAUUGGGUGUCGUCUCAACCGAUUUUCUCGGUAGGACGUACCUGGAAGUUAGCGGCAGAACGGCCGGUGAUCGAGCGUAGUAAAAACAUUGCUUUCCGCUCAAGAUUUCACCCGGGCGUCCUAGCCGGACAACCCCCUAAAUUUUUCAAUGGUUGACCUCGGAUCAGGUAGGGAUACCCGCUGAACUUAA